Molecule: ribosomal RNA, 253 nt
Filed under: uncultured bacterium
Lineage: Bacteria
Description: partial 16S ribosomal RNA
Rfam family: Bacterial small subunit ribosomal RNA
Source: RNAcentral
GACGAACCGUGCGAACGUUGUUCGGAUUCACUGGGCUUAAAGGGCGCGUAGGCGGGCGAUCAAGUCAGGGGUGAAAUCCUCCGGCUCAACCGGAGAACAGCUUUUGAUACUGGUCGUCUCGAGGGAGGUAGGGGCAUGUGGAACUUCCGGUGGAGCGGUGAAAUGCGUAGAUAUCGGAAGGAACGCCGGUGGCGAAAGCGACGUGCUGGACCUUCUCUGACGCUGAGGCGCGAAAGCCAGGGGAGCGAACGGG